Molecule: unclassified non-coding RNA, 4478 nt
Filed under: Onthophagus taurus
Lineage: Eukaryota; Metazoa; Arthropoda; Insecta; Coleoptera; Scarabaeidae
Description: pleckstrin homology domain-containing family G member 5, transcript variant X2
Source: RNAcentral
AAAAUAGUUAAAGUUAAAAAUCAAAAAUGUUUUUUCUCCUUAUAUCUAUUUAUUUAAAAAACUUGAAAACUUUAGGUUUUCUCGUUUCACAUCUUUAUUUAGAAUCUUAGAGAUAACGAAAAACCUGUGACGAUGGAGAAAACCUUCAGUAUUCGUCGCGUUUUUAACUAAACGUGAGUCCGACCAAAAAAAUGUUAAAUAAUACUCAAAUUAAUAGUGAUUCAAAUAGUAAUAAUAGAAAAAAUAAAAAUACUAAGCGUACUCCUUUAAACGUUGAUAAUUCGAAUGAUAAAUUUUCUAAAAAGUUUAGGUUGAGUUUUCGGGGUAGUAAAAAGGAGAAAAAAGAUGGUAAAGAUAUUAUUGUUAAAAAUAAUACUAGUAAUAAAAGUGUACAAUGUGAUAUUCGUCGAAGUAGUAAUAGCGAAAAUAAAGUAACAAGAGACAAUAAAAUCAUAAAUGUCGAGAAGAAAGAUAAAGUGAAAAGUGAGCAACUUUCGGACGAUGAAAAAGUGAAAACCAACGAUGACAACAACGUUAGCAUCAUAAUAGUGCGAGAUAUACUCGAAAAUUUAGUUGAAGACAUGUGGAAAAGUGACAAAAAAAUAGAUGUUAAACUAAGAAGCAAUAAAAAUUUGGAUAAAACAAAAAUAAUUAAUCAUCGAAGAACGUCGAUAACGGAUUUACCUGAAUCGGCUAUAAAAGAAACAACCACUAAAAUAGAAGAGCUACAAGAUUACAAGCCGGAUAUGGGUCGAAGGGAUUCUUUGUAUUCCGUCGAAGAAUACGACGAAAAUUUAGACGAAAAUGAAAAUAAACUACGAAUCGAAGCCAUCAAUCCUUUAGUAAAAUCACCAAAACAAUUAAAAAAGAAAAAUUCCUUUUUUAAUUCGUUAUUCAGAAAAAAACCGGACGCACAAAAAAAAGAUAACAACCAAAAUCAACAUGGCUUAAGACGAUACUCAUCGUCUUUAGAAUUAUCCACAUCGAAUCAACUUCGCGAUAAAACUUUAGAUCGAUCUAUAAAACGAAAAUUAUCGAAAAUUAUUAAAGAAGAUACUCCAGCGUUGAUUAAACGAUCAUUUAGCGUUAGAGAUGUUAACAAUAAACGCAAAGAAACUAAUUUGAAUGAAAUGCAAUGGAAACAAUCAUUACAAAGUCUCGUCGAAAAUGAUAAUACCGUUAGUUAUGAUGAUAUGAGCUUUAUUAAUUACGAUACUUUAAAUGCUGUUAAUUAUGAUGAUGAGAAUAGAUUUGCAAUACGUAAUUUACAUCGGACACAAAGCUUAAUCGUGCAUGGUUCACCAGCGAAUUAUCGACCUUCUUCUAUAAGAGGAGCAUCCGUUCCGAGACACUACUUAUCAAAUACAGAUAUCACCGAGCAAAACGAAGCUCAAUCUCUUCCUUCAUUAAACAAGACCAUUGAGGAAAAUGAGGAAGAAAUCAACUUGCAAGUUCCCCAAUCGUUACCUAGAUUUAAUCGUCGUCCACAAAGUCUGGUUCUCUAUCCGGAAGACGGAAAGCUUCGGACUCAAACGACCGGAAGUUUUCGAUCGGCGAGCAACGGCUGUGCCAAAUUGAAAAGGACAAACGCUUGCAGGCAAAAGUCCAGGAAUUCAGUCAGCUCAAUAGACGAGGAAAUUCGAUACGCCAAUGGAAACUCGGUUCGUUCAAGAAGUUUAAAUCACUUAGACACGUUAGAAAUGAGGUAUGGUGCACCGACAUCCCCCGAUACAACGGCAUUAAAAGAUUCAAGAUCCGAACCGGAUUGUACAAAACCUUUAUUGAUUCCACCUGAAACGAAUGUAGAAGCUCCAACAUCACCAAAUGAAAUCCAAACGUCCAAACGUCACGUUCUUAGCAGAUCACAAAAAUCGAGCAGUGAAUGUUUUAGUGUUAAUUUCGAGGUUGGAGAUGAAUCUACGUGGGAUAACGAAUUAUUCUUUCCGGCAACACGUGGAACCACUUUACAUGAUUCAUUAACAAAACUUUGCGAAAUACGAAAUAUAGAUUUAUCAAAUUGCGAUGUAUGGCUUCAAGACAAAGAAAAUAACACAAAUACGUUAUUACAUUUCUCGCAAGAUACAGCAAGUCUCGUUGGACGUCACAUUAGGAUUACCGCAAAAGAGACGGGAACGAAGGCCCCAGUAAGGAAAUAUUCAGGGAGUACGCGACAGAAAUCGGGUAGUUUUUUUGGUUCAAGUACCGAAGACAAUACGUGGACUUCACACGAAUCCAGACUUUCGUUUCAAGAUACGGACGGAAAUAAAAAACAAGGAAAACAACGAUGGUCGGGACUCUUUGGUUACAGCAAGGAUACGAAAAUGGAAGCUUUAGUUGAACAUCUAAAUAGUUAUACAAAGCACGGAGUUCCUACAUCACAGAUUUACCCCCAAGGACAGUGUGAAUCCCUCGAUGCUCUCUACAAACUGGAAUUAGACUGGAGGGAGCUUAUAGACUAUAAAGAAUUAACCGAGAGACAACAACAACAGCAAACAGCACUUUGGGAAUUGAUUAAAACCGAAGUGGCCUACAUCAAAACAUUAAAAGUAGUCACUGAGUUGUUUCUCGCCUGUUUGAAGAAUUUACAAUUAACCAACCUCCUAAAGGAAAUUGAUACAGAAAAGUUAUUUUCAAACAUCACCGAAAUUUUGGAUACCAACGUUCAAUUUUGGAGGAAUAGUUUAUUUCCGAUGGUUAAAACGAUGAGGCAAUACAAACAACCACCUUGUAUAGAAAUGAUGGCGCAAGGAUUUUUGGGAAUGAAAGAUUCUUUUCAGGCCUAUUAUCAAUAUUGUGCGGAACAAGCGCGGUGUCAACAUUAUUGCAGGGAAAAUCAUGCUCAUAAUGAGUUGUUUACGGCUUAUUUAGCUUGGUGUGAAACACAAAAGGAAUGCAAUAGGUUGAGAUUAAUGGACAUUCUCGUUCAACCGAUGCAAAGACUUACUAAAUACGGUUUACUGUUAAAAGCCAUCCUGAAAAACACCGACGAAGAAGUUGAAAAGGAUACUUUAUACCUUAUGAUCAGAUCUGUUGAUGAUUUCGUAAAUAAAGUUAAUUCAAGUUUAAAGCAAAAACAAGACAACGAAAGACUUCGAGGACUUAUUGUUAGAAUAGAAAGUUAUGAAAUUGUUGAAUCAAAAGAUGACGAUUUAGAACGUAUUUUAAAAAAAAGUUAUGUCCCAUUAGAUUUAACACGCCCAAUGUUGAAUUGUCCUGUGGAUAGAAGAAGACAUCUUUUAUUAGAGGGAGAUUUAAAAUUAAAAGAUAGCAACACUUCAAAAAUGGAAGUUCAUUGCUUCCUUUUGACAGAUAUGCUCUUAGUUUGCAAACCUUCAACUAAACGGGGAGGAUCCAUGAUGCGGGUCAUCAGGCAACCUUAUCUUGUCGAUAGACUUGUAGUUCAUGAAUUGAACAAAGAAACCCCGUCUUUGGCUCUAAUUUAUAAAAACGAAUUUGAUAUGGCCAUUGCUGGAUUUAUUUUGCAGAAUAAUGACGCUAGAAAACUUAAGAGUUGGAAAGACGGCAUUGCAAAAGCACAAAGUCUUUAUUCUCAAGCGAAACAAGUCUCUCAUUACGAUGACAUCGAUCCAGAAUAUUCUUUCACCGAAUCACUUGAAAGUGAUUUUCACAAUUUCCAAUUAGCGCCAAAAUCACCUUUGGCAUCGUCUUCAAGGGCUAGUCGAGUUUCCAGUUUAGCACACAGCCACAGUGGAUCUGUUGAAAUGAAUGAUCAAUCCUCUAUCGGUUCAGGGAAAGAUCCUUCUCGGGCCGUGUCCGUUGAAAAUGAAAAUCGAACGGCUUCGAUAUCAAGCGAUGAAGGCGUACAACCUUUGCCACCCGAUCGAAGCCCUGUUUCUCAAAAGAACUCCUUCAAACAACGUCUUUUUAAUAAAACCCCCAACACACUUUCGGUGCAACCAUACACAAACCUUGGUCAAAGUUUGCCCAAUUUAACACUCGGUUCACCGAAUGUUGGUACAUUGAGUUUGAAUUUUAAUCAAAAUACUUUGAGCGUUCCGAAUGCGAAGAAUCCCGCCGGUGGAAGUAGUACUCAUUUGUUAAGUCCAACUCAUCGGGGAAUUUCUUAUCCACCUCCAUCACCGACGAGAGGAAAUUUAAGACGCGGUUUGGCGAUUUCGCAAAGUAAGAAUCCACCGUUGCAGAAAACGAGACAUGUUAGUUCUCAGGCUAGUACUACUUCGUGUGGACAAGUACCUAGUAGUUUUGAUUUUGAUGUACCAGUUAUUGCAGAAGAAAACUGAUCGCAGAAUGAUGAUUUUGUGAGGGGGCUUUAAAAGAAAAUGUGAAAAAGUUUUGUGUAAAGAUUUUAACAAGCGCUACAAUCCAUUGUAUCCUUAGGAAUUUCUGACCACUGCGAAAGUUUUAGCAGAGGCCAAUUACGACAAGCAAUGGUAAAACGCGGCCAUAGAACCGAAAAUAAACGAUACCACACCGCCGGCACGGUAGAUGAUAUCAAG